AAGCCCAUUCCCACUUAACACGCAAAUGUUGAGAGGCUAAGACGCAUACUACUUUAACUAUAAAUUGUUGUGUCUUUAAGGUAUUUUGCACUUCUUAAUUCAUAAUAAAAGAGUCUUUUUAGUUUCAAAUGGCACACACAAAUUUAAAUAGUGCCUAUAAAAGAAUUAGCAGAAGCAUUAAAAGAUUUUUCUCUAUCUCUUCGCCUGUCACAAAUGAACUGUUUUUAAAAAUUAAGAACUAUACUGACACUGUACUUCAGAAAACACUCUACAGUGUUAGAUAGAAAUUUUCACCAGAAUUUCUAUCAUGUUUUUUGGAAACACUAAACAGGAUAGAAAUUCUGCAGAAA
Molecule: long non-coding RNA, 350 nt
Filed under: Bos taurus (domestic cattle)
Lineage: Eukaryota; Metazoa; Chordata; Mammalia; Artiodactyla; Bovidae
Description: long non-coding RNA NONBTAT014860
Source: RNAcentral